AUUGAACGCUGGCGGCAGGCCUAACACAUGCAAGUCGAGCGGCAGCGGAAAGUAGCUUGCUACUUUGCCGGCGAGCGGCGGACGGGUGAGUAAUGUCUGGGAAACUGCCUGAUGGAGGGGGAUAACUACUGGAAACGGUAGCUAAUACCGCAUAACGUCGCAAGACCAAAGAGGGGGACCUUCGGGCCUCUUGCCAUCAGAUGUGCCCAGAUGGGAUUAGCUAGUAGGUGGGGUAAUGGCUCACCUAGGCGACGAUCCCUAGCUGGUCUGAGAGGAUGACCAGCCACACUGGAACUGAGACACGGUCCAGACUCCUACGGGAGGCAGCAGUGGGGAAUAUUGCACAAUGGGCGCAAGCCUGAUGCAGCCAUGCCGCGUGUAUGAAGAAGGCCUUCGGGUUGUAAAGUACUUUCAGCGGGGAGGAAGGUGUUGAGGUUAAUAACCUCAGCAAUUGACGUUACCCGCAGAAGAAGCACCGGCUAACUCCGUGCCAGCAGCCGCAGUAA
This 506-nucleotide ribosomal RNA is filed under the name uncultured bacterium. RNAcentral describes it as "partial 16S ribosomal RNA". It matches the Rfam family "Bacterial small subunit ribosomal RNA", at positions 30 to 523 of the family's 1533-position model. The record is from RNAcentral.